Molecule: transfer RNA, 71 nt
Filed under: Proteus penneri
Lineage: Bacteria; Pseudomonadati; Pseudomonadota; Gammaproteobacteria; Enterobacterales; Morganellaceae
Description: tRNA-Arg
Source: RNAcentral
ACGCAAUGAAAUCAGUAUAUAACGCCCUUCUAAGCCGUAGGUCACAGGUUCGAAUCCUGUAGGGCGUACCA